Non-coding RNA from Arachis ipaensis, 1155 nucleotides. The record is from RefSeq and is a predicted model, not a curated record. Lineage: Eukaryota; Viridiplantae; Streptophyta; Magnoliopsida; Fabales; Fabaceae.
AUUAAAACUUAAACCUAACCUAAUUUUACAAAACCUAAAUGCCUAUACGUUCAGAAAGGGAAAAAAGAGAGAAAGGGGAACAGAGAGGGAGCAAAGGGGAAACGAGAAAUUGAUGAAAGGGAGAAGAAGGAUCAGGGAAGCCAGAGGAGAGGGUGACGACGGAAGGUGUCAUUACCGUCGCUGGCAUUGAAAUCGGAGGGGAAGCACCACGAAGAACAGAGAGACGCGCAUGAUAGAGGGAAAAGGUAGUGUCGCUACCGUGCCUGGUGAUCGUUGCGGAAGCUUCGAUCGCUAUUGUCCCUGCUAGGGUUACCACUGACGCCGAACAGAACAGGGGAGAGUAGCGCAAAUUGGAAGAGUAAAGGGAGCUCUGUUGCGGGCUCGUUGCCAAGAAAAGAAGAGGCGAUGCUGAUGGGGAUCGCCGCCGGUGUCAUCGCCGUCACUAUGGUUCGUGGUCACCACUGCCGUUGGUGACGGACUAGGUUGCGUCCUAGCUACCGGAGCCGCCAUCCCCGUCACCUUGUUGCUUCGGGUCAACCAUGUCUCUGCCUCUGAUGUACCUUGUUGUGCCAUAUCCGUUGGAACUGUCGUGGUUGGAGCUUGUUAUUAGAGAAAGCAAUUCGCUGCCACCAUCUUUCAGUCUAGCCAGCAUCAUCAUCCUCUUUGUUCCAGUUCCAAUGCCAAUUUUCUAUUUCUUAAGCCAUUGUCAAUUUAUCUCCUGAGCAAUCACAAUUGGUGUUGAGGUCGUUGAUGUUGCUGCUGUUAUGCUAUAGCUAGUCACAAGAGUUUUACUGCUGCGGGAUUACGUUGAAAUUGUCGCUGCUGCUGUGAAUUCAAAAUAAGCGGGCUUAUAGUGGUUAAUUUGUGCGAGUUCAGCUAAUCGAGGUAGGGGGUUUAACUUAAACGAUUUUAAUUUAAGAAUGCCUACAAGGUUUAUUGAAACUGCAAAUAGAUUUAAUAACUUUGAGUAAUUGAUUGAUUAAAUGAAUGUUGAGUUUUGGCUGAAAUUAUGAUUGGAAUGAUUGAGAUUUUUUAUUGGAACUUUGGUUGAAUUCGUUGAUUAUGUGAAAUUGAAUUAUAAAGUGUUUGAUGGGAGAUUAUUGUGAUUUAUGUAUUUUGAUUGAUUAAAUUGAAAUUAUUGCUGUUGAGUUGGUU